CGAACGCUGGCGGCGCGUUUUAAGCAUGCAAGUCGAACGGUAGUAGAGUGCUUGCACUCUAUGAGAGUGGCGAACGGGUGAGUAACACGUAGGUGAUCUAUCUUUGGGGUCUGGGAUAGCCUGUGGAAACACAGGGUAAUACCGGAUACGACCUUUAGAUUUUGGUCUAGAGGGGAAAGUCGCUUAGGCGACGCCCUAAGCUGAGCCUGCGGCUGAUUAGCUAGUUGGUAGGGUAAUGGCCUACCAAGGCGACGAUGAGUAGCCGGCCUGAGAGGGUGAUCGGCCACACUGGGACUGAGACACGGCCCAGACUCCUACGGGAGGCAGCAGCUAAGAAUCUUCCGCAAUGGGGGAAACCCUGACGGAGCGACGCCGCGUGGACGAAGAAUGCCGGAAGGUUGUAAAGUCCUUUUCCUGGGGGAGAAUAAUGCAAGGAGGUAAUGCCUUGCAGAUGACGUGAACCAGGGAAUAAGCCCCGGCUAAUUAC
RNAcentral lists this ribosomal RNA (487 nucleotides) under uncultured bacterium. RNAcentral's name for it is "bacterial SSU rRNA". It matches the Rfam family "Bacterial small subunit ribosomal RNA", at positions 30 to 504 of the family's 1533-position model. The record is from RNAcentral.